Molecule: ribosomal RNA, 496 nt
Filed under: uncultured bacterium
Lineage: Bacteria
Description: partial 16S ribosomal RNA
Rfam family: Bacterial small subunit ribosomal RNA
Source: RNAcentral
AUGAACGCUGGCGGCGUGCCUAAUACAUGCAAGUCGAGCGAACGGACGAGAAGCUUGCUUCUCUGAUGUUAGCGGCGGACGGGUGAGUAACACGUGGAUAACCUACCUAUAAGACUGGGAUAACUUCGGGAAACCGUAGCUAAUACCGGAUAAUAUUUUGAACCGCAUGGUUCAAAAGUGAAAGACGGUCUUGCUGUCACUUAUAGAUGGAUCCGCGCUGCAUUAGCUAGUUGGUAUGGUAACGGCUUACCAAGGCAACGAUGCAUAGCCGACCUGAGAGGGUGAUCGGCCACACUGGAACUGAGACACGGUCCAGACUCCUACGGGAGGCAGCAGUAGGGAAUCUUCCGCAAUGGGCGAAAGCCUGACGGAGCAACGCCGCGUGAGUGAUGAAGGUCUUCGGAUCGUAAAACUCUGUUAUUAGGGAAGAACAUAUGUGUAAGUAACUGUGCACAUCUUGACGGUACCUAAUCAGAAAGCCACGGCUAACUACGUG